AGCGAACGCUGGCGGUAGGCCUAACACAUGCAAGUCGAACGGCAGCACAGUAAGAGCUUGCUCUUACGGGUGGCGAGUGGCGGACGGGUGAGGAAUACAUCGGAAUCUACUUUUUCGUGGGGGAUAACGUAGGGAAACUUACGCUAAUACCGCAUACGACCUACGGGUGAAAGCAGGGGAUCUUCGGACCUUUCGCGAUUGAAUGAGCCGAUGUCGGAUUAGCUAGUUGGCGGGGUAAAGGCCCACCAAGGCGACGAUCCGUAGCUGGUCUGAGAGGAUGAUCAGCCACACUGGAACUGAGACACGGUCCAGACUCCUACGGGAGGCAGCAGUGGGGAAUAUUGGACAAUGGGCGCAAGCCUGAUCCAGCCAUACCGCGUGGGUGAAGAAGGCCUUCGGGUUGUAAAGCCCUUUUGUUGGGAAAGAAAAGCAGCAGGUUAAUACCCCGCUGUUCUGACGGUACCCAAAGAAUAAGCACCGGCUAACUUCGUG
This 492-nucleotide ribosomal RNA is filed under the name uncultured bacterium. RNAcentral describes it as "partial 16S ribosomal RNA". It matches the Rfam family "Bacterial small subunit ribosomal RNA", at positions 29 to 507 of the family's 1533-position model. The record is from RNAcentral.